AUAAUUUUGUCUAUCAUAUAU
RNAcentral lists this ribosomal RNA (21 nucleotides) under Priestia megaterium. RNAcentral's name for it is "Bacillus megaterium partial 16S ribosomal RNA". The record is from RNAcentral. Lineage: Bacteria; Bacillati; Bacillota; Bacilli; Caryophanales; Bacillaceae.